Molecule: ribosomal RNA, 492 nt
Filed under: uncultured bacterium
Lineage: Bacteria
Description: partial 16S ribosomal RNA
Rfam family: Bacterial small subunit ribosomal RNA
Source: RNAcentral
AGUGAACGCUGGCGGUAGGCCUAACACACGCAAGUCGAACGGCAGCACAGUAAGAGCUUGCUCUUACGGGUGGCGAGUGGCGGACGGGUGAGGAAUACAUCGGAAUCUACUUUUUCGUGGGGGAUAACGUAGGGAAACUUACGCUAAUACCGCAUACGACCUACGGGUGAAAGCAGGGGAUCUUCGGACCUUGCGCGAUUGAAUGAGCCGAUGUCGGAUUAGCUAGUUGGCGGGGUAAAGGCCCACCAAGGCGACGAUCCGUAGCUGGUCUGAGAGGAUGAUCAGCCACACUGGAGCUGAGACACGGUCCAGACUCCUACGGGAGGCAGCAGUGGGGAAUAUUGGACAAUGGGCGCAAGCCUGAUCCAGCCAUACCGCGUGGGUGAAGAAGGCCUUCGGGUUGUAAAGCCCUUUUGUUGGGAAAGAAAAGCAGCAGGUUAAUACCCCGCUGUUCUGACGGUACCCAAAGAAUAAGCACCGGCUAACUUCGUG